CAGUAGCCGCGGUAAUCCGAAGGGUGCAAGCGUUAAUCGGAAUUACUGGGCGUAAAGCGUGCGUAGGCGGUUUGUUAAGUCUGUUGUGAAAUCCCCGGGCUCAACCUGGGAAUGGCAAUGGAUACUGGCAAGCUAGAGUGUGUCAGAGGAUGGUGGAAUUCCCGGUGUAGCGGUGAAAUGCGUAGAGAUCGGGAGGAACAUCAGUGGCGAAGGCGGCCAUCUGGGACAACACUGACGCUGAGGCACGAAAGCGUGGGGAGCAAACAGGAUUAGAUACCCCCGUAGUCCCUGUCUCUUAUAU
This 301-nucleotide ribosomal RNA is filed under the name uncultured bacterium. Its description in RNAcentral is "partial 16S ribosomal RNA". It matches the Rfam family "Bacterial small subunit ribosomal RNA", at positions 509 to 809 of the family's 1533-position model. The record is from RNAcentral.